This 429-nucleotide ribosomal RNA is filed under the name bacterium. Its description in RNAcentral is "partial 16S ribosomal RNA". It matches the Rfam family "Bacterial small subunit ribosomal RNA", at positions 355 to 776 of the family's 1533-position model. The record is from RNAcentral.
UAGGGAAUCUUCGGCAAUGGGGGCAACCCUGACCGAGCAACGCCGCGUGAGUGAAGAAGGUUUUCGGAUCGUAAAGCUCUGUUGUAAGAGAAGAACGUGUGUGAGAGUGGAAAGUUCACACAGUGACGGUAACUUACCAGAAAGGGACGGCUAACUACGUGCCAGCAGCCGCGGUAAUACGUAGGUCCCGAGCGUUGUCCGGAUUUAUUGGGCGUAAAGCGAGCGCAGGCGGUUUAAUAAGUCUGAAGUUAAAGGCAGUGGCUUAACCAUUGUUCGCUUUGGAAACUGUUAAACUUGAGUGCAGCAGGGGAGAGUGGAAUUCCAUGUGUAGCGGUGAAAUGCGUAGAUAUAUGGAGGAACACCGGUGGCGAAAGCGGCUCUCUGGUCUGUAACUGACGCUGAGGCUCGAAAGCGUGGGGAGCAAACAGG